AAUCAACGCUGGCGGCGUGCCUCAGACAUGCAAGUCGAACGAUUAAGACUUCCUUCGGGAAGUGCAUAAAGUGGCGCACGGGUGAGUAACACGUAAGUAAUCUACCUUCGAGUGGGGAAUAACGUUCGGAAACGAACGCUAAUACCGCAUAAUGCAGCGGCAUCGCAAGAUGACAGUUGUUAAAGGAAUUUAUUUCGCUUGAAGAGGAGCUUGCGGCAGAUUAGCUAGUUGGUAAGGUAACGGCUUACCAAGGCUACGAUCUGUAUCCGGUCUAAGAGGACGGUCGGACACACUGACACUGAAUAACGGGUCAGACUCCUACGGGAGGCAGCAGUCGGGAAUUUUGGGCAAUGGGCGAAAGCCUGACCCAGCAACGCCGCGUGAAGGAUGAAGUAUUUCGGUAUGUAAACUUCGAAAGAAUGGGAAGAAUAAAUGACGGU
RNAcentral lists this ribosomal RNA (440 nucleotides) under uncultured bacterium. RNAcentral's name for it is "bacterial SSU rRNA". It matches the Rfam family "Bacterial small subunit ribosomal RNA", at positions 32 to 476 of the family's 1533-position model. The record is from RNAcentral.